Long non-coding RNA from Vespula vulgaris, 1050 nucleotides. RefSeq lists it as uncharacterized. The transcript is spliced from 2 exons. The record is from RefSeq and is a predicted model, not a curated record. NCBI's taxonomy places the organism in Eukaryota, Metazoa, Arthropoda, Insecta, Hymenoptera, Vespidae.
AUAGUUACAUACUCAAUCACAUUGAUAUAUAUAUGAUCGUAUAUUGUAUUUUAACAUUAGUAAUAACAAUUAUGAAAAAAAAAACAAAAGUUAACAACAGUAAUAAUUAUAAAUUCACUAGUGGCUAAAUUCUUAUCAAAACAAAAGUACUCGUACAUUAUUGACAAUUAAAGUGUUUUGUGUGUGUGUGUGUGUGUGUGUGUAUUACGUAACACAGUUUUAAAAUAGUUACUUGAAAUUAACCAAUAUAACAAUAUUUUAAGAUUAAUAAUCUAAAGUUAUUAUCAGUAAUCUAAAAUAUGAGUCUGAAAGGCAGUGAAACGACAUUAGAAGAAAGAAACAUUGUUAUAAAUUUAUUUAAAGAGGGUAAUUCGUAUUCAAACAUUGCAGCAAUUGUAAAAAAAAGUUGUUCAAUAGUACAAAGUAUAAUAAAUAGUACAAAAACAGUACAAAGUGUAUAAAUAAAACAGAAAUAUUGCAAGAUAUAAAAGAGUAUACUGACAUGAUCCUUAUGUUAAGUACAUAUAUAGGUAAUAUAUCUAUGGCUGCUAAAUACUAUAAAGAUUAUUAUCCAAAUUGCCAACAUCCUGAUCAGAAGUCAUUCAAAGAGAUAAGCAAAUACUUGCAGAAAAUGAAUCUUUAGAAACAUUUCAAAAGAAUGUUAGCAGAGAUAGAAAAGGAUUAAGUAUCAUUUAACAUACAAAAGUUAUCUUUGUACAAUUCAAAAUAACUUCAAUUUCAAAGAGAAAUAACUAAAAGAAUGUAAAAUUUAAUUGAAUUUACAAUUUUUAUUUUCUUUGUUUCUAUAUUUUGUAUAAUUGAUCAAUUGAUUAUAACAUAAAAAAGUCUCAUAAAGAUCUGUUAUAAAUCUGAUCAAAUAAAAGUCCAUGUUACAAUCGGGAACAAUAAUUUGGAUUUAAGAAACAGCUCUUUGAAGAAAUGGAAGAUUCAUGGGCCCUGGCAUUUUUCCAUUUAUUUCUAUAUUUAUGUCCUAAAUAAAUUUGUAUCUUAAAAAUAGUUUAUUUAAAAUAUAUUUUACUUUUAUAUCUA